This 350-nucleotide ribosomal RNA is filed under the name uncultured bacterium. Its description in RNAcentral is "bacterial SSU rRNA". It matches the Rfam family "Bacterial small subunit ribosomal RNA", at positions 920 to 1267 of the family's 1533-position model. The record is from RNAcentral.
GACCCCGCACAAGCGGCGGAGCAUGCGGCUUAAUUCGAUGCAACGCGAAGAACCUUACCAGGCCUUGACAUCCUCGGAACUUUCUAGAGAUAGAUUGGUGCCUUCGGGAACCGAGUGACAGGUGCUGCAUGGCUGUCGUCAGCUCGUGUCGUGAGAUGUUGGGUUAAGUCCCGUAACGAGCGCAACCCUUGUCCUUAGUUGCCAGCACAUUAUGGUGGGAACUCUAACGGGACUGCCGGUGCAAACCGCGAGGAAGGUGGGGAUGACGUCAAAUCAUCACGGCCCUUACGUCCUGGGCUACACACGUGCUACAAUGGCCGGUACAGAGGGCAGCACACCGCAAGGUGGAG